This 497-nucleotide ribosomal RNA is filed under the name uncultured bacterium. Its description in RNAcentral is "partial 16S ribosomal RNA". It matches the Rfam family "Bacterial small subunit ribosomal RNA", at positions 28 to 507 of the family's 1533-position model. The record is from RNAcentral.
GAUGAACGCUGGCGGCGUGCCUAAUACAUGCCAGUCGAGCGAACAGACGAGGAUCUUUCUCCUCUUACGUUAGCGGCGGACGGGUGAGUAACACGUGGAUAACCGACCUAUAAGACUGGGAUCACUUCGGGAAACCGGAGCUAAUACCGGAUAAUAUAUUGAACCUCAUGGUUCAAUAGUGAAAGACGGUUUUGCUGUCACUUAUAGAUGGAUCCGCGCCGCAUUAGCUAGUUGGUAAGGUAACGGCUUACCAAGGCAACGAUGCGUAGCCGACCUGAGAGGGUGAUCGGCCACACUGGAACUGAGACACGGUCCAGACUCCUACGGGAGGCAGCAGUAGGGAAUCUUCCGCAAUGGGCGAAAGCCUGACGGAGCAACGCCGCGUGAGUGAAGAAGGUCUUCGGAUCGUAAAACUCUGUUAUUAGGGAAGAACAAAUGUGUAAGUAACUAUGCACGUCUUGACGGUACCUAAUCAGAAAGCCACGGCUAACUACGUG